This 355-nucleotide transfer-messenger RNA is filed under the name bovine gut metagenome. It matches the Rfam family "transfer-messenger RNA". From Rfam's summary of the family: Bacterial tmRNA, also known as 10Sa RNA or SsrA, is named for its dual tRNA and mRNA-like properties. Its role is to liberate the mRNA from a stalled ribosome. The record is from RNAcentral.
GGGGGUGAUCCGGUUUCGACGGGACGUUGUGGAGACCAGAUUGCGCGCCGAGGAUGUCGGUUGGCCUCGUUAAUCAUCCGGCAAAAACAUAAUCGCGAACAACGAUUACGCUCUCGCGGCCUAAUUAUGGCCCCGAUGUCGCCCGGCGGACGCCUGCUAUUCCGGCGCGGCAUAAUUCAGCAGGACUUGGCCUGAAGCGCUCCGUUCGCGCGUCAGGUUCACGUACAACCGAACGGAUGGAGAGGGAUAAGCCCGUGUGUCGGCAUACCCUUUCCGAGACUAAAGGCGCACUACGCGCGUAGAUGUUUGGCCAAAGCCGUUUCGGACGCGGGUUCGACUCCCGCCACCUCCACCA